CGUGCCAGCGUCCAGGCGGGAGAGUCACGGUUAGUGGCUAGCUGGGCCUGGGCCGGGCUGCCAGGUCACCAGGGGACACUGUGUGGCGAGUACAGAGCGCACUGGAUGUCCUCUUUCAUGCACAAUCUUGCUGAGUCCUUCAGCAGGAACCGGCAAAAGCGUUAACAGCGCCCGGAGACCAGACGCCUCCUUCUUCCUGCAGCGUCUCUUCAGCGCUCUCUACCGGUUAAGCUUAACAUUGCGCUCAACCUGAAGAAAUGCUGGAGACACCACCAGUCCAUUGGGAGUUGAAAAAGAACAAAGCGCAGUUUGAGGUUCAGUAAUGUGAUAUCCAGUUACCCAAGUGAGCCAUGGAUACCAGUAAGAAACAGAGGCGCCUACCUCACCUCACACCUUUGUCCCUGAAUUGGAGCAGAAGAGUUUCAACAAUACCACGUCUGGGGCUGGUGCUAACAUCUGUCUCUGUGAAUGUGCUGGCUGUGGAAACUCACUGUUUAUGCAAAGAAAUCCAGACUCUUCAUAGCAAGCCAGACACAGGUGCUAUCACUGGCAAAUUAUCCUAUUAUCCAAUUCCUCCAUAUGCUUUCUGAGGGAAAAUAAACCAGUUUCAGAGAUCUUUAACUCUUGUUAUCAGUACUCGGUCACAGGAACAGAGCAAGCAAACAAACGUAAAACAUCUUCCUAAAGGCAAGUUCUUCAUUUCACAUGUAACUUAACAGGUUACACUGGUUCAUAAUGUUAGACUGCCAAGAUGGCUAGAAUAUAACCCUUCUAUCAAGACCUUGCAAGGACUGCCUUUAGAAGAUGAAGGAAGAGAUUUCCAAAUCAUGGUGCUGGUGUCUGGGGAUUUCUGUUUCCAGCAAACGCGAACAGUCACCAUCACCUCUACCCUUCAUGUGCUGGACAGGGAUGACGUAAAGGAAACAAGCUUGAUUCCUUCUCCAAGUGGCUAAGUGUCCUCAUUUUGAAAAGUACCAGGACAGCUGUGUGAGUUGCUCAGCCUAUGAGUUUAGUCAAGAGCAAGGACAGGAUAUGAAGAAGUAAAACCUUGCCCUAGAGAAAGAGUAAAGAACAGAAGACCACCACAAAAGGAAGGAGACACAUUUCACAAUGUUGCUAAUAAACAGGCUCUUAGAGCAAAGCUUAUGAUAAUUCCUUGCAUUGGAAGACAAACUCUCCAAAUAAAUGAACUCUUGGGAACUAAGUUUUUAUUUCUCACACCAUUUUAUUUUACACUCAUGGACCACACACUAGCUGAGAACAGUCCUCCUUUUCUCUUUCAAAAGGCAGCAACCUGAAUACACGUGUGCCUUGUAAGCAUAGA
Bubalus bubalis (water buffalo) is the source of this 1324-nucleotide long non-coding RNA. RefSeq lists it as uncharacterized. Lineage: Eukaryota; Metazoa; Chordata; Mammalia; Artiodactyla; Bovidae. The transcript is spliced from 3 exons. The record is from RefSeq and is a predicted model, not a curated record.